This 253-nucleotide ribosomal RNA is filed under the name uncultured bacterium. Its description in RNAcentral is "partial 16S ribosomal RNA". It matches the Rfam family "Bacterial small subunit ribosomal RNA", at positions 524 to 776 of the family's 1533-position model. The record is from RNAcentral.
UACGGGGGGGGCAAGCGUUGUUCGGAAUUACUGGGCGUAAAGGGCUCGUAGGCGGCCAACUAAGUCAGACGUGAAAUCCCUCGGCUUAACCGGGGAACUGCAUCUGAUACUGGAUGGCUUGAGUUCGGGAGAGGGAUGCGGAAUUCCAGGUGUAGCGGUGAAAUGCGUAGAUAUCUGGAGGAACACCGGUGGCGAAGGCGGCAUCCUGGACUACUACUGACGCUGAGGAGCGAAAGCCAGGGGAGCAAACGGG